GGAUGGAUGGAAAGUGAAAAAGAUGCUGUAUAUUUUCAUCUUGUAUCUUUGACCCCUCCCAAAAAGACAGCACUGUUCUUCUGGAGGUUUGGAAGGAAGCACAGAGCAUUGCUGGUAGAGCAUCACUCCCUGAGCCAAGUAGUUUCCUGGUGAAUUGCUGCUCUUCAAGUUGGAGGACUGGAAAUGGAGAAAUAAAUGAUUGCAUUGGACAGAUGCUCUUACCCA
RNAcentral lists this long non-coding RNA (225 nucleotides) under Athene cunicularia (burrowing owl). RNAcentral's name for it is "lncRNA (ENSACUG00000010061.1)". Lineage: Eukaryota; Metazoa; Chordata; Aves; Strigiformes; Strigidae. The record is from RNAcentral.